AGUUGUCGGUGUAGUAGUAGUUGUCGGUGUAGUAGUAGUUGUCGGUGUAGUAGUAGUUGUUGGUGUUGUUGUUGUUGGUAAUGUUGUUGUUGGCGUAGUAGUAGUUGUUGGUGUAGUGGUGGUUGUCGAGGUGGUAGUGGUUGUUGGCGUUGUAGUGGUUGUCGAGGUUGUUGGCGUUGUAGUGGUUGUUGGUGUUGUAGUGGUUGUAGGCGUAGUUGUGGUUGUUGUUGUUGUAGUGGUUGGUGGAGUAGUAGUUGUUGGUGUUGUUG
Non-coding RNA from Biomphalaria pfeifferi, 269 nucleotides. Lineage: Eukaryota; Metazoa; Mollusca; Gastropoda; Planorbidae. The record is from the annotation of a GenBank genome assembly.